This 464-nucleotide ribosomal RNA is filed under the name uncultured bacterium. RNAcentral's name for it is "partial 16S ribosomal RNA". The record is from RNAcentral.
GACUACCAGGGUAUCUAAUCCCGUUUGCUCCCCUGGCUUUCGCGCCUCAGCGUCAGUAUCGGCCCAGCAACCCGCCUUCGCCUCCGGUGUUCUUCCCAAUAUCUACGCAUUUCACCGCUACACUGGGAAUUCCAGUUGCCCCUUCCGUACUCUAGCUUGGCAGUUUCGAAAGCAGUUCCGGGGUUGAGCCCCGGGCUUUCACUCCCGACUUGCCAUGCCGCCUACGCGCCCUUUACGCCCAGUAAUUCCGAACAACGCUUGCCCCCUACGUAUUACCGCGGCUGCUGGCACGUAGUUAGCCGGGGCUUACGUCGGGUACCGUCAUCCACCACAGGUAUUCUCCAUGGCGAUUUCUUUCCCGACUUUCGAAGUUUACAUCCCAGAGGGAUUUCAUCCUUCACGCGGCGUUGCUGGGUCAGGCUUUCGCCCAUUGCCCAAAAUUCCCCACUGCAGCCACCCGUAGG